UACGUAGGGUGCAAGCGUUGUCCGGAAUUAUUGGGCGUAAAGAGCUCGUAGGCGGUCUGUCGCGUCGGCUGUGAAAACUUGGGGCUCAACCCCAAGCCUGCAGUCGAUACGGGCAGACUAGAGUGCGGUAGGGGAGACUGGAAUUCCUGGUGUAGCGGUGAAAUGCGCAGAUAUCAGGAGGAACACCGGUGGCGAAGGCGGGUCUCUGGGGCCGA
Molecule: ribosomal RNA, 215 nt
Filed under: uncultured bacterium
Lineage: Bacteria
Description: partial 16S ribosomal RNA
Rfam family: Bacterial small subunit ribosomal RNA
Source: RNAcentral